AUACUGACGCUUCUACUGCUUUUU
This 24-nucleotide non-coding RNA is filed under the name Rattus norvegicus (Norway rat). Lineage: Eukaryota; Metazoa; Chordata; Mammalia; Rodentia; Muridae. The record is from RNAcentral.